GAGAGAAACUUGGGCCUAAUACUGGAUAGGACCAUCCUUUAGUGUGUGAUGGUGGAAAGUUUUUUCGGUUGGGGAUGAGCUCGCGGCCUAUCACUUGUUGGUGGGGUAAUGGCCUACCAAGGCGUCAACGGGUAGCCGGCCUGAGAGGGUGUACGGCCACAUUGGGACUGAGACACGGCCCAAACUCCUACGGGAGGCAGCAGUGGGGAAUAUUGCACAAUGGGCGGAAGCCUGAUGCACCGACCCCCCGUGAGGGAUGACGGCCUUCGGGUUGUAAACCUCUUUCAACAGGGACAAAGCUUUUGUGACGGUACCUGUAUAAAAAGCACCGGCUAACUACGUGCCACCAGCCGCGGUAAUACGUAGGGUGCGAGCGUUGUCCGGAAUUACUGGGCGUAAAGAGCUCGUAGGUGGUUUGUCGCGUCGUCUGUGAAAUUCCGGGGCUUAACUCCGGGCGUGCAGGCGAUACGGGCAUAACUUGAGUGCUGUAGGGGAGACUGGAAUUCCUGGUGUAGCGGUGAAAUGCGCAGAUAUCAGGAGGAACACCGAUGGCGAAGGCAGGUCUCUGGGCAGUAACUGACGCUGAGGAGCGAAAGCAUGGGGAGCGAACAGGAUUAGAUACCCUGGUAGUCCAUGCCGUAAACGGUGGGCGCUAGGUGUAGGGGACUUCCACGUCUUCUGUGCCGUACCUAACGCAUUAAGCGCCCCGCCUGGGGAGUACGGCCGCAAGGCUAAAA
This 737-nucleotide ribosomal RNA is filed under the name Corynebacterium argentoratense. RNAcentral's name for it is "bacterial SSU rRNA". It matches the Rfam family "Bacterial small subunit ribosomal RNA", at positions 150 to 899 of the family's 1533-position model. The record is from RNAcentral. Lineage: Bacteria; Bacillati; Actinomycetota; Actinomycetes; Mycobacteriales; Corynebacteriaceae.